RNAcentral lists this unclassified non-coding RNA (291 nucleotides) under Glomus sp. RNAcentral's name for it is "partial contains 5.8S ribosomal RNA and internal transcribed spacer 2". The stretch from base 1 to 72 matches the Rfam family "5.8S ribosomal RNA", at positions 84 to 154 of the family's 154-position model. Lineage: Eukaryota; Fungi; Glomeromycota; Glomeromycetes; Glomerales; Glomeraceae. The record is from RNAcentral.
GUGAAUCAUCGAAUUUUUGAACGCAAAUUGCACUCUCCGGUUUUCCGGGAGAGUAUGCUUGUUUGAGGGUCUGUUUAAAAAAUAAUCGAGGCUGCUGCUGUGGUGGCUCUUCGGUAUUGGGUCUUCUUUCACCUUUCGGUUGUAAGCGACCUAAAAUUUUUUUUACGAUUUCUACGAACGUGUCUAAGAACUUCUUGUACGUUCACGACAUCGAAAUCAUAUUAGGGGUGCCUGCCGCGCCGGGUUCGCUCCCAUAAUAUGUCAUCUAAGGACCUCAGACAGGUAAGAGUG